AUGGGAACCUUGUCACCUGCGCCUGAUCUCCGUUGUGUACAGUCAGUCCUGACACCUGCAUCUAUACAUAUAGUUUUUUUAAUGAUACGGCGACCACCGAGAUCUACACAUAGAGGCACACUCUUUCCCUACACGACGCUCUUCCGAUCUAUAAUCCUGUACACGAAGCCAGAUCAGGCAUAGCGGUAUCCUGAGUAACGCGGGACACGAGGAAUCCUGCGCGAAUCUGCCGGGACCAUCCGGUAAGGCUAAAUACUCCCGUGAGACCGAUAGCGAACGAGUACUGUGAAGGAAAGGUGAAAAGAACCCCGAGCAGGGGAGUGAAAUAGUUCCUGAAACCAUACGCCUACAAGCGGUCGGAGCAUCGCAAGAUGUGACGGCGUGCCUUUUGCAUAAUGAUCCUACGAGUUACCGUCACUGGCGAGGUUGAGUGUCAUGAGACACGUAGCCGCAGUGAAAGCGAGCCUGAAUAGGGCGCACAGUCAGUGGGGGUAGACGCGAAACCAAGUGAUCUACACUUGGCCAGGAUGAAGUCCCGGUAACACGGGAUGGAGGUCCGCACCAAUAAGCGUUGAAAAGCUUCUGGAUGAGCCGAGUGUAGGAGUGAAAGGCCAAUCAAACUUGGAGAUAGCUCGUACUCCCCGAAAGGCAUUUAGGUGCCGCGUCGGAUGGUCACCGUGAGAGGUAGAGCGACCGAUAGGACAAGAGGGCUUCACCGCCUAUCGAGUCCUGACGAACUCCGAAUGCUCACGGUCUGCAGUCCGGCAGUAAGGGGGCGGGUGCUAAGGUCCGUCCCCGAGAGGAGAAGAAUCCAGACCGCCGUCUAAGGUCCCGGAGUUCUGCCUGAGUUAGUCUAACGAAGUCUGGUCCCUAUGACAGCUAGGAUGUUGGCUUGGAAGCAGCCAUUCAUUCAAAGAGUGCGUAACAGCUCACUAGUCGAGGGUCCGGGCAUGGAUAAUAAUCGGGUAUAAGGCAGACACCGAAGGCGCGGGAUAGCAAUUAUAAAAGUAUCGGUAGGGGAGCAUACUCACAGCGUCGAAUGGUGUACGUAAGUUAUCCUGGAGCGGUGAGUAAAGCAAAUGUAGGAAUAAGUAACGAUAAGGAGGGUUAGAUUCCCUCCCGCUGUAAGACCAAGGUUUCCCGGGCAAUGCCAAUCAGCCCGGGGUCAGUCGGGUCCUAAGUCUAAGCCGAACGGCGAUGGCGAUGGCAGAGACGGUUAAUAUUCCGUCACUGCCGCAUGGGGCGACGUGGAGACGGAGCAGUGAAACCACCGCGGGGCGACGGAAGUCCCCGUUGAAGGGUGUAGGCGUUGAGGAUGGCAGGCAAAUCCACCAUCCGAGCUGAACCUGACAGUACGGAGUCCUCCUCGGAGGAAUCUGAUAGUGUGGGUAAUCAUACUCCCGAGAAAAUCCGCUAAGCUUAACCCAUGCGGCACCCGUACCGCAAACGGACACACGUGGUCGGGUAGAACAUACUAAGGCGUUGAGAGAUUCAUGGUUAAGGAACUAGGCAAAUUGACCCUGUAACUUCGGGAUAAAGGGUCCUCGUGAUGAGCGAGGCGCAGAGAAUAGGUCCAGGCAACUGUUUAACAAAAACACAGGGCUGUGCAAACUCGAAAGAUGACGUAUACAGCCUGACACCUGCCCGGUGCCGGAAGGUUAAGAGGAGAUGUCACUCGCAAGAGGAAGCAUUGAAUUGAAGCCCCGGUAAACGGCGGCCGUAACUAUAACGGUCCUAAGGUAGCGAAAUUCCUUGUCGGGUAAGUUC
This 1767-nucleotide ribosomal RNA is filed under the name human gut metagenome. RNAcentral's name for it is "bacterial LSU rRNA". It matches the Rfam family "Bacterial large subunit ribosomal RNA", at positions 296 to 1983 of the family's 2925-position model. The record is from RNAcentral.